CAAUUGAGCAACCGCGAGUGUCUGCUGUAUCGCUCUAUUUUAAAACCGCGAGUCUGAAGAUAGUACCUACGAAACGACCUCUUAGAGGUCACGGAUCACGGUCAACGAAUAAACGAACGCGAAAGAAGGGAGCGACGAAGACAAGCAAGGUCAACAGUGCAGCAGCGGGACGUGCAAGACGCAAAGGCAACGAAAAGUGUGCUGACUGCUAGUGUGGCAGUGUGCUUGUGCUACAACAGUAGUAUAUAUAGUAGUAUAAUUUAUGUAAGUCGUAAGAUGACAAGCACGCGCAAGUGCAGUAGCCAGUAAUGCGGUAUACACGAUACAAUACAAUACCUACACUUCAAAAUAUGCGAAUAUUAUCAAUUAUGCGAUAAACGGUAAUACUGAUAAUAGAAGUACUAAAAGAUAACGCGCCGCCGUUGUUAUCUUAUAAUAACCAGACGCUUGAUAACAUAAUAUAUGUAAUAUAUUAAUUAUAUUAAUUGGUUGUAAAUUUGUAAUAAACCAGCUUGAUAUAAAAAUUAGGAGUUGCAGUCACCAUAUUGACUUAUUGUUCUGUUGCUCAGUACUGUCUUCUAAUAAGGCUGAAAUAUAUUUCUGGUGUGCAUCUACCCAAACCAAACCCAACAGUGAAGAGUGAUCACUGAUCAGUGACCAAUCAAUAUUCUCUAACAGCAACUGAUUUACUCUGUAAGAAUGAUUAGAUUAAAUCCUACAAGAAUAGAGCUAAGGAUUGAAGAUCUAGGCGAAUUCGCGGAUAUCAAAAAUCAUUAUGAAACUAUUAAAAAAACUAAAGAAGAAAAACAAAAAACUCUGUACGGUCCUCUUCAAAACAGCAACUCUUCAAAAACCAAACAAGAUGCUGUACAAGAAAGAAUAGGAUUUAUCCCACGGCCCAGA
This is a long non-coding RNA of Myzus persicae (green peach aphid), 903 nucleotides long. RefSeq lists it as uncharacterized. Lineage: Eukaryota; Metazoa; Arthropoda; Insecta; Hemiptera; Aphididae. The transcript is spliced from 4 exons. The record is from RefSeq and is a predicted model, not a curated record.